AGAGUUGAUUCUGGCUCAGGAUGAACGCUAGCGGCAGGCUUAAUACAUGCAAGUCGUGGGGCAGCGCAGUGUAGCAAUACAUGGGCGGCGACCGGCAAACGGGUGCGGAACACGUACACAACCUUCCUUCAAGUGGGGAAUAGCCCAAGAAAUUUGGAUUAAUACCCCGUAAUAUUAUGAAGUGGCAUCACUUUAUACUUAUAGCUCCGGCGCUUGAUGAUGGGUGUGCGGCUGAUUAGGUAGUUGGCGGGGUAACGGCCCACCAAGCCUACGAUCAGUAACUGGUGUGAGAGCACGACCAGUCACACGGGCACUGAGACACGGGCCCGACUCCUACGGGAGGCAGCAGUAAGGAAUAUUGGGCAAUGGAGGCAACUCUGACCCAGCCAUGCCGCGUGGAGGAUGAAGGUCCUCUGGAUUGUAAACUUCUUUUAUAUGGGACGAAAAAGGGCCUUUCUAGGUCAACUGACGGUACCAUAUGAAUAAGCACCGGCUAACUCCGUGCCAGCAGCCGCGGUAAUUCA
RNAcentral lists this ribosomal RNA (524 nucleotides) under uncultured Terrimonas sp. Its description in RNAcentral is "bacterial SSU rRNA". It matches the Rfam family "Bacterial small subunit ribosomal RNA", at positions 8 to 527 of the family's 1533-position model. Lineage: Bacteria; Pseudomonadati; Bacteroidota; Chitinophagia; Chitinophagales; Chitinophagaceae. The record is from RNAcentral.